GCUUAACGCGAAGAACCUUACCAGGGCUUGACAUGGAAGUGACCGGACGAGAGAUCGUUCUUCUCCCGCAAGGGAGCACUUCACACAGGUGCUGCAUGGCUGUCGUCAGCUCGUGUCGUGAGAUGUUGGGUUAAGUCCCGCAACGAGCGCAACCCUCGUUUCUAGUUGCCAGCAUUCAGUUGGGCACUCUAGAGAGACUGCCGCGAAUAACGCGGAGGAAGGUGGGACGACGUCAAGUCAUCAUGGCCCUUACGUCCUGGGCUACACACGUGCUACAAUGGGUGUCACAGAGGGUCGCAAGAGCGCAAGCUGGAGCCAAUCCCCAAAAACACCCUCAGUUCGGAUCGAGGUCUGCAACCCGACCUCGUGAAGGUGGAAUCGCUAGUAAUCGCGGAUCAGAACGCCGCGGUGAAUACGUUCCCGGGUC
Molecule: ribosomal RNA, 427 nt
Filed under: uncultured bacterium
Lineage: Bacteria
Description: bacterial SSU rRNA
Rfam family: Bacterial small subunit ribosomal RNA
Source: RNAcentral